GCACUCGUAGCUCAGUUGGUAGAGCAGCUGACUCUUAAUCAGCGGGUCUCCGGUUCGAGCCCGGACGAGUGUA
Molecule: transfer RNA, 73 nt
Filed under: bacterium M21
Lineage: Bacteria
Rfam family: tRNA
About the family: Transfer RNA (tRNA) molecules are approximately 80 nucleotides in length. Their secondary structure includes four short double-helical elements and three loops (D, anti-codon, and T loops).
Source: Rfam by way of RNAcentral